MicroRNA precursor from Sorghum bicolor (sorghum), 109 nucleotides. It matches the Rfam family "MIR5565 microRNA precursor family". Lineage: Eukaryota; Viridiplantae; Streptophyta; Magnoliopsida; Poales; Poaceae. The record is from Rfam.
GUUGUCAGAUUCACUUCAAUCCAUGUGUGUUGGUGUGGAAUGCGGUGGAAUUUAGUUCAAAUUCUACGCCAAUCCACCUCAACACAUGUGGAUUGAUGUGAAUCCGACU